UACAGAGGUCCCAAGCGUUGUUCGGAUUCACUGGGCGUAAAGGGUGCGUAGGUGGCAUAGAAAGUUUGAUGUGAAAGCUUCGGGCUCAACUCGGAAACUGCAUUGAAAACUACUAAGCUAGAGGGUCGGAGGGGAGACUGGAAUUCUCGGUGGAGCAGUGAAAUGCGUAGAUAUCGAGAGGAACACCGGUGGCGAAAGCGAGUCUCUGGACGAUACCUGACACUGAGGCACGAAAGCUAGGGGAGCAAACAGG
This 253-nucleotide ribosomal RNA is filed under the name uncultured bacterium. RNAcentral's name for it is "partial 16S ribosomal RNA". It matches the Rfam family "Bacterial small subunit ribosomal RNA", at positions 524 to 776 of the family's 1533-position model. The record is from RNAcentral.